AAUAGAUACCCCGGUAGUCCACGCCGUAAACGAUGAGUGCUAAGUGUUAGAGGGUUUCCGCCCUUUAGUGCUGCAGCUAACGCAUUAAGCACUCCGCCUGGGGAGUACGGUCGCAAGACUGAAACUCAAAGGAAUUGACGGGGGCCCGCACAAGCGGUGGAGCAUGUGGUUUAAUUCGAAGCAACGCGAAGAACCUUACCAGGUCUUGACAUCCUCUGACAACUCUAGAGAUAGAGCGUUCCCCUUCGGGGGACAGAGUGACAGGUGGUGCAUGGUUGUCGUCAGCUCGUGUCGUGAGAUGUUGGGUUAAGUCCCGCAACGAGCGCAACCCUUGAUCUUAGUUGCCAGCAUUUAGUUGGGCACUCUAAGGUGACUGCCGGUGACAAACCGGAGGAAGGUGGGGAUGACGUCAAAUCAUCAUGCCCCUUAUGACCUGGGCUACACACGUGCUACAAUGGAUGAUACAAAGGGCUGCAAGACCGCGAGGUCAAGCCAAUCCCAUAAAACCAUUCUCAGUUCGGAUUGUAGG
RNAcentral lists this ribosomal RNA (529 nucleotides) under uncultured bacterium. RNAcentral's name for it is "bacterial SSU rRNA". It matches the Rfam family "Bacterial small subunit ribosomal RNA", at positions 777 to 1304 of the family's 1533-position model. The record is from RNAcentral.